GACGGAGUUCCCGAGCGGUCAAAGGGGGUGGACUCAAGAUCCUCUGCUAAGGCUUCGCAGGUUCGAAUCCUGCCUCCGUCACCA
This 84-nucleotide transfer RNA is filed under the name Euryarchaeota archaeon TMED141. RNAcentral's name for it is "tRNA-Leu". It matches the Rfam family "tRNA". Rfam says of the family: Transfer RNA (tRNA) molecules are approximately 80 nucleotides in length. RNAcentral also lists the same sequence under 4 other names. The record is from RNAcentral. Lineage: Archaea; Methanobacteriati; Methanobacteriota.